AUUCCAGCUCCAAUAGCGUAUAUUAAAGUUGUUGCAGUUAAAAAGCUCGUAGUUGGAUUUCUGGUGGGAGCGAUCGGUCUGGCGCUUAGCGCGAGUACUUGCAUCGUCUCCGGCCAUCCUUGGGGAGAGUUUGUCUGGCAUUAAGUUGUCGGGCAGAGGAUCCUCAUCGUUUACUGUGAAAAAAUUAGAGUGUUCAAAGCAGGCUUAUGCCGUUGAAUAUAUUAGCAUGGAAUAAUAAGAUAGGACUUUGGUACUAUUUUGUUGGUUUGCGCACCAAAGUAAUGAUUAAUAGGGACAGUUGGGGGCAUUCGUAUUCCGUUGUCAGAGGUGAAAUUCUUGGAUUUACGGAAGACGAACUACUGCGAAAGCAUUUACCAAGGAUGUUUUCAUCG
This 392-nucleotide ribosomal RNA is filed under the name Bacillariophyta sp. RNAcentral's name for it is "partial small subunit ribosomal RNA". It matches the Rfam family "Eukaryotic small subunit ribosomal RNA", at positions 582 to 975 of the family's 1831-position model. Lineage: Eukaryota; Bacillariophyta. The record is from RNAcentral.